Molecule: long non-coding RNA, 698 nt
Organism: Dromaius novaehollandiae (emu)
Lineage: Eukaryota; Metazoa; Chordata; Aves; Casuariiformes; Dromaiidae
Source: Ensembl
UAUAGCCCUUGAUUGAUUGUGUUUGAAUUGCAGACUGAUACUUUGGAACGCCUUAAAUCUGGUGUACACUUAGCAUGUUGCCUAUGUCUUCAGAUACCUGCAUACAGAUAUGUUUACUGUGGCAUUCGUUCAGCUGCUGAAAUUCUUCUGUCCAUGUAAACGGACACUUCCAGAACAUAUUAGCCUGGGUGCAGUCUCCCUGUAAGGCGUGUGAAAUGUACAGCUGCAAAACUACAGUUUUAAACAAAAAAAACCUCUUCCUCAUAUGAACUGUCAUCCAAAACACAGGAUGAAAGUAGCUGAAGAGAAGUUGUUUAUGAUAUCAUCUGCAGGACUCCUAGAAAAUUCUUCAGAAACUUGGGCUUGUCUGUCUCAGGCUGCCCCUAAAAAAUUGAAGUAUUAAUCUGGCAAGAUGAAAUCAAGAUGCACAAAGAGAAGAUAUUGGAGACUAUUCUGCAAGGUGUUCAGGUAUUUGUGAUUUCAUUAUUUAUACCAGUAAUUGAUGCAUGAUUAGGGGUACUCUGUGCUUUAUGCACUUAAGGACUUAAAAGGAGAAUGUUCUUGUUAACUCAUGAAAGGCGACGAUACAAUGAUUUUAAUGAAAAAGUCACAAUGAUUAAAGCCGCUUAGUCAAAAUGCCACCAUGCAGCUUAAAGAUGAAGUUGUGAUUAAAAGGAUACUGURUAAGAGUUGCAGCU